UCUGGUGGUUUAACGGCGGGGUCACACCCGUUCUCAUUCCGAACACGGAAGUUAAGCUCGCUAGUGGCGAUGGUAGUCUCUGUUACAGGAGGCGAGAGUAGCUAACCGCCAGAA
Non-coding RNA from Candidatus Adlerbacteria bacterium, 114 nucleotides. Lineage: Bacteria; Candidatus Adleribacteriota. The record is from Rfam.